Molecule: ribosomal RNA, 529 nt
Filed under: uncultured bacterium
Lineage: Bacteria
Description: bacterial SSU rRNA
Rfam family: Bacterial small subunit ribosomal RNA
Source: RNAcentral
AAUAGAUACCCCGGUAGUCCAUGCCGUAAACGUUGGGCACUAGGUGUGGGGGACAUUCCACGUUCUCCGCGCCGUAGCUAACGCAUUAAGUGCCCCGCCUGGGGAGUACGGUCGCAAGGCUAAAACUCAAAGGAAUUGACGGGGGCCCGCACAAGCGGCGGAGCAUGCGGAUUAAUUCGAUGCAACGCGAAGAACCUUACCAAGGCUUGACAUACACUGGACCGUUCUGGAAACAGUUCUUCUCUUUGGAGCUGGUGUACAGGUGGUGCAUGGUUGUCGUCAGCUCGUGUCGUGAGAUGUUGGGUUAAGUCUCGCAACGAGCGCAACCCUCGUUCUAUGUUGCCAGCACGUGAUGGUGGGAACUCAUAGGAGACUGCCGGGGUCAACUCGGAGGAAGGUGGGGAUGACGUCAAAUCAUCAUGCCCUUUAUGUCUUGGGCUUCACGCAUGCUACAAUGGCUGGUACAGAGAGAGGCGAACCCGUGAGGGUAAGCGAAUCCCUUAAAGCCAGUCUCAGUUCGGAUCGUAGU